RNAcentral lists this long non-coding RNA (260 nucleotides) under Elaeis guineensis (African oil palm). Its description in RNAcentral is "long non-coding RNA (EGUI_LNC023091)". The record is from RNAcentral. Lineage: Eukaryota; Viridiplantae; Streptophyta; Magnoliopsida; Arecales; Arecaceae.
CUUUCAUAAACCUUUCUGUUUUGAGAAUCUAUGGUGCCUCCAUCCAGACUUUGACAUUUUAGUUGAACGAUGGUAUAAUGAAGCCUUUGUGCACUAUGAUGUUUUUGUCAAUAUAAUGACUAAGCUAUAUUUUCUUCACACUAGAUUGAAGAGUUGGAAUAAAUAAGUAUUGGUAUUAUAUUUGCUAUCAAUAAAAUAACUUCUUGAUCAAAUAGAAGCACUAGAUCUAGUUGAAGAAUUGAGAGUUUUAUCUACAGUUG